GGCCAUAUAUCAAACAAAAGAAAAAGAAAACCUUCUUUAUUCAUAAUUUGCUCUAAUUUCUUACCAAUGGAUUCAGGGCAACCGAGUUCUAGUUCUAAACAAGAACUUAUCAAGUGAGUCCUUUUUCCAUUUCAUUCUUCUUUUUUUAUUCUUUCUCAUUAUUUAUUUUACAGUCUUCAAGAGAUUUAUAUGGUGCUUUCAAUUCUUUUAGCAAAAUGAAAAAAGAAAAUGAAGCACUCAAACUCGAAAAUGACGAACAAAAGAAACUCGUUGAGAAGCUGCUCAAGGAGAUUGCCCAAUUGAAAACAAAGGUCAGCUUUUAUAUCAUCAAUUUUCAAUUUUAAAAUGCUACGUAGAUUAUUAACUUUAUCUGUUUUUUUCUUUUGCAGCACGAAAAGCUACAGAAAAGUUUUGGCCCUAGAAACAUCGAGUGAGAUUCCGUAUGUACAGUGAAAAAUAUUCUUAAGAUAAAAUUGUUGUAGCUCUCUCUUUCUAGAGGAGAAAUUUAUCUUAUAAGUUACCUAAUUAUCUUCAAAUUCUAGUGUUAUCGUGUUUCUCGUAAUCUUGCC
RNAcentral lists this long non-coding RNA (569 nucleotides) under Nicotiana tabacum (common tobacco). RNAcentral's name for it is "long non-coding RNA (NTAB_LNC017789)". The record is from RNAcentral. Lineage: Eukaryota; Viridiplantae; Streptophyta; Magnoliopsida; Solanales; Solanaceae.